AGCUUUGCACAGUGGCAGUAUCGUAGCCAAUGAGGUUUAUCUGAGACGCGAUUAUUUCUAACUGAAAACUUUUCCCAAUAUCCCGGCAUGAGCACUUGAAAUAUAAUCGGCAUUGGCAAUUUUUGACAGUCUCUAUGGAGA
Molecule: small nuclear RNA, 141 nt
Organism: Otolemur garnettii (small-eared galago)
Lineage: Eukaryota; Metazoa; Chordata; Mammalia; Primates; Galagidae
Gene: U4
Rfam family: U4 spliceosomal RNA
About the family: U4 small nuclear RNA (U4 snRNA) is a component of the major U2-dependent spliceosome.
Source: Ensembl